UACACUCCGCGGGAGGCAGCAGUGGGGAAUAUUGGACAAUGGGCGCAAGCCUGAUCCAGCCAUGCCGCGUGAGUGAUGAAGGCCCUAGGGUUGUAAAGCUCUUUCACCGGUGAAGAUAAUGACGGUAACCGGAGAAGAAGCCCCGGCUAACUUCGUGCCAGCAGCCGCGGUAAUACGAAGGGGGCUAGCGUUGUUCGGAUUUACUGGGCGUAAAGCGCACGUAGGCGGACUAUUAAGUCAGGGGUGAAAUCCCGGGGCUCAACCCCGGAACUGCCUUUGAUACUGGUAGUCUUGAGUUCGAGAGAGGUGAGUGGAAUUCCGAGUGUAGAGGUGAAAUUCGUAGAUAUUCGGAGGAACACCAGUGGCGAAGGCGGCUCACUGGCUCGAUACUGACGCUGAGGUGCGAAAGCGUGGGGAGCAAACAGGAUUAGAAACCCCUGUAGUCCCAUGAU
Molecule: ribosomal RNA, 452 nt
Filed under: uncultured organism
Description: partial 16S ribosomal RNA
Rfam family: Bacterial small subunit ribosomal RNA
Source: RNAcentral